GGACGAUCGCGGGCACCAGAUGGCUAAUUACCGGUGCGUGAGGAAAGUCCGGGCUCCACAGGACAAGGGUGCCGGGCAGUUCCCGGUGAAGGCGACUUUAAGGAAAGUGCAACAGAAAAGAAAACCGCCCGCCCUUCGGGGCAGGUAAGGAUGAAAAGGCGAGGUAAGAGCUCACCGGCGACAGGGAGACCUGCCGGCCUUGUAAACCCCACCCGGAGCAACGUCGUGGAAAGGCAUAACCGUGGUCCGCGGGCCUUGAGGGGACGGCUUGAGCCAUAAGGAGACUUAUGGCCUAGACAGAUGAUCGUCGUUUACAGAACCCGGCUUACCGGCCGAGUCG
Molecule: RNase P RNA, 340 nt
Filed under: uncultured Saccharofermentans sp.
Lineage: Bacteria; Bacillati; Bacillota; Clostridia; Eubacteriales; Oscillospiraceae
Description: Bacterial RNase P class A
Rfam family: Bacterial RNase P class A
About the family: Ribonuclease P (RNase P) is a ubiquitous endoribonuclease, found in archaea, bacteria and eukarya as well as chloroplasts and mitochondria. Its best characterised activity is the generation of mature 5'-ends of tRNAs by cleaving the 5'-leader elements of precursor-tRNAs. Cellular RNase Ps are ribonucleoproteins.
Source: RNAcentral